Long non-coding RNA from Eriocheir sinensis (Chinese mitten crab), 825 nucleotides. RefSeq lists it as uncharacterized. Lineage: Eukaryota; Metazoa; Arthropoda; Malacostraca; Decapoda; Varunidae. The record is from RefSeq and is a predicted model, not a curated record. The transcript is spliced from 3 exons.
GUCAUGGAAAACUAGGUUGAUUUGACAAGGGUGUCAUGGAAAACUAGGUUGAUUUGACAAGGGUGUCAUGGAAAACUAGGUUGAUUUGGCAAAGGUGCAAUGGAAAACUAGUUGAUUUGACAAGGGUGCCAUGGAAAACUAGUUGAUUUGACAAGGGUGCAAUGGAAAAAUACUUGGAGACAUUUAAAUUGGCAAGGGUGCUAUGACGAAAACAGGUGAUUUGACAAGGAUGCUAAAGAAAAAUAGUUGAGGGGACUUAAUUUGACAAGGCUGCCAUGGAAAACUAGCUAAUUUGACAAGGUUGCUAUGAGAGAAAAUAGUUAAGGGGACAUUUAAUUUGACAAAAGUGAAAUGGAAAAAUAGUUGAGGCGGUAUUCAAUUCCAAACCUCAACCUUCUGCAUCAUAGGAGCAACGUCCAUGUAAAGUGACACACACAACAGGCAGAGGAACACAAGGGCAUGCAUUCUAAGGUCAUGGGUCUCAAGCAAACUCCUCCAAAUCAUAAUCAAAAACUGUGAAAAAUAAAAUAGUCACUAAAGUAUUUCUGAUCUCGCUCUCUUGCUAAUUAUUCGUGAAAACCAAAACCUCGAACACGGUGCCCAGUGGAAGUUGGAACUCGGAACAGAAAAAAGAAAAAAUGGAAAACAGAACAAAAUCAGACACAUAGAAAUAAAAAAUGAAUAAAAUGAGAAACGUUUUUUAACACACAAACAAAAGAAAACAAAACUGCAGCACUCGGAAAAGAAAAAAGAAAAAAUGAAAAACAGAACAAAAUAAGACAAACAGAAAUAAAAAAAUGAAUAAGACAAUACGUUUCUUUACAC